RNAcentral lists this ribosomal RNA (301 nucleotides) under uncultured bacterium. RNAcentral describes it as "partial 16S ribosomal RNA". It matches the Rfam family "Bacterial small subunit ribosomal RNA", at positions 509 to 807 of the family's 1533-position model. The record is from RNAcentral.
CAGCAGCCACGGUAAUACGUAGGGUGCAAGCGUUAAUCGGAAUUACUGGGCGUAAAGCGUGCGCAGGCGGUUUGUUAAGACAGAUGUGAAAUCCCCGGGCUCAACCUGGGAACUGCAUUUGUGACUGGCAGGCUAGAGUGUGGCAGAGGGGGGUGGAAUUCCGCGUGUAGCAGUGAAAUGCGUAGAUAUGUGGAGGAACACCGAUGGCGAAGGCAAUCCCCUAGACCUGUACUGACGCUCAUGCACGAAAGCGUGGGGAGCAAACAGGAUUAGAUACCCGCGUAGUCCCUGUCUCUUAUAC